This 253-nucleotide ribosomal RNA is filed under the name uncultured bacterium. Its description in RNAcentral is "partial 16S ribosomal RNA". It matches the Rfam family "Bacterial small subunit ribosomal RNA", at positions 524 to 776 of the family's 1533-position model. The record is from RNAcentral.
UACGGAGGGGGCUAGCGUUGUUCGGAAUUACUGGGCGUAAAGCGCACGUAGGCGGCUUUGUAAGUUAGAGGUGAAAGCCCAGGGCUCAACCCUGGAAUUGCCUUUAAGACUGCAUCGCUUGAACAUCGGAGAGGGAAGUGGAAUUCCGAGUGUAGAGGUGAAAUUCGUAGAUAUUCGGAAGAACACCAGUGGCGAAGGCGACUUACUGGACGAUUGUUGACGCUGAGGUGCGAAAGCGUGGGGAGCAAACAGG